RNAcentral lists this transfer RNA (60 nucleotides) under Enterovibrio calviensis. It matches the Rfam family "tRNA", at positions 7 to 64 of the family's 71-position model. Rfam says of the family: Transfer RNA (tRNA) molecules are approximately 80 nucleotides in length. Their secondary structure includes four short double-helical elements and three loops (D, anti-codon, and T loops). The record is from RNAcentral. Lineage: Bacteria; Pseudomonadati; Pseudomonadota; Gammaproteobacteria; Vibrionales; Vibrionaceae. RNAcentral also lists the same sequence under 6 other names.
UUAGUUCAGUUGGUAGAACGGCGGACUGUUAAUCCGUAUGUCGCAAGUUCAAGUCUUGCA